AGUGAACGCUGGCGGUAGGCCUAACACAUGCAAGUCGAACGGCAGCACAGUAAGAGCUUGCUCUUACGGGUGGCGAGUGGCGGACGGGUGAGGAAUACAUCGGAAUCUACUUUUUCGUGGGGGAUAACGUAGGGAAACUUACGCUAAUACCGCAUACGACCUACGGGUGAAAGCAGGGGAUCUUCGGACCUUGCGCGAUUGAAUGAGCCGGUGUUGGGUUAGGUAGUUGGGGGGGUAAAGGCCCACCAUGGCGACGAUCCGUAGCUGGUCUGAGAGGAGGAGCAGCCACACGGGAACGGAGAGACGCUCUGGACUCGUGCGGGGGGCAGCAGUGGUGAAGAUGGGAGAAGGGGCGAAAGCUGGAUCCAGCCAUGCCGCGUGAGUGAGGAAGGCCUUCGGCUUGAAAAGCCCUUUUGUGGGGAAAAAAAAUCAGCAGGUUAAUACCCCGUUGUUCUGACGGAACCCAAAGAAUAAGCACCGGCGAACGGCG
Molecule: ribosomal RNA, 490 nt
Filed under: uncultured bacterium
Lineage: Bacteria
Description: partial 16S ribosomal RNA
Rfam family: Bacterial small subunit ribosomal RNA
Source: RNAcentral